Molecule: long non-coding RNA, 218 nt
Filed under: Macaca nemestrina (pig-tailed macaque)
Lineage: Eukaryota; Metazoa; Chordata; Mammalia; Primates; Cercopithecidae
Description: lncRNA (ENSMNEG00000045619.1)
Source: RNAcentral
CACGGUGUAUUGUAGGAAGCCUAGCACGGUGUAUUGUAGGAAGCCUAGCACGGUGUAUUGUAGGAAGCCUAGCACGGUGUAUUGUAGGAAGCCUAGCAUGGUGUAUUGUAGGAACCCUAUCACGGUGUAUUGUAGGAACCCUAUCACGUGUAUUGUAGGAAGCCUAUCACGGUGUAUUGUAAGAAGCCUAUCACGGUGUAUUGUAGGAAGCCUAUGAU